GACGAACGCUGGCGGCGUGCCUAACACAUGCAAGUCGAACGGUAAGGCCCUUCGGGGUACACGAGUGGCGAACGGGUGAGUAACACGUGGGUGAUCUGCCCUGCACUUCGGGAUAAGCCUGGGAAACUGGGUCUAAUACCGGAUAGGACUCCUGGCUUCAUGGUUGGGGGUGGAAAGCUUUUGCGGUGUGGGAUGGGCCCGCGGCCUAUCAGCUUGUUGGUGGGGUGAUGGCCUACCAAGGCGACGACGGGUAGCCGGCCUGAGAGGGUGACCGGCCACACCGGGACUGAGAUACGGCCCAGACUCCUACGGGAGGCAGCAGUGGGGAAUAUUGCACAAUGGGCGCAAGCCUGAUGCAGCGACGCCGCGUGAGGGAUGACGGCCUUCGGGUUGUAAACCUCUUUCAGCACCGACGAAGCGCAAGUGACGGUAGGUGCAGAAGAAGGACCGGCCAACUACGUGCCAGCCGCCGCCGUAA
This 478-nucleotide ribosomal RNA is filed under the name uncultured bacterium. RNAcentral describes it as "partial 16S ribosomal RNA". It matches the Rfam family "Bacterial small subunit ribosomal RNA", at positions 28 to 523 of the family's 1533-position model. The record is from RNAcentral.